GUUCAUCUUCACUGACUGCGCA
RNAcentral lists this microRNA (22 nucleotides) under Ptychodera flava. Its description in RNAcentral is "Pfl-Novel-1_5p (mature (guide))". Lineage: Eukaryota; Metazoa; Hemichordata; Enteropneusta; Ptychoderidae. The record is from RNAcentral.